This 428-nucleotide ribosomal RNA is filed under the name uncultured bacterium. RNAcentral describes it as "bacterial SSU rRNA". It matches the Rfam family "Bacterial small subunit ribosomal RNA", at positions 958 to 1392 of the family's 1533-position model. The record is from RNAcentral.
AACGCGAAGAACCUUACCUGGCCUUGACAUGCACGGAACUUUCCAGAGAUGGAUUGGUGCCUUCGGGAACCGUGACACAGGUGCUGCAUGGCUGUCGUCAGCUCGUGUCGUGAGAUGUUGGGUUAAGUCCCGCAACGAGCGCAACCCUUGCCAUUAGUUGCUACGAAAGGGCACUCUAAUGGGACUGCCGGUGACAAACCGGAGGAAGGUGGGGAUGACGUCAAGUCCUCAUGGCCCUUAUAGGUGGGGCUACACACGUCAUACAAUGGUCGGUACAGAGGGUCGCCAACCCGCGAGGGGGAGCCAAUCCCAGAAAACCGAUCGCAGUCCGGAUCGCACUCUGCAACUCGAGUGCGUGAAGUCGGAAUCGCUAGUAAUCGCGGAUCAGCAUGUCGCGGUGAAUACGUUCCCGGGUCUUGUACACACCG